Molecule: unclassified non-coding RNA, 434 nt
Filed under: Hevea brasiliensis (rubber tree)
Lineage: Eukaryota; Viridiplantae; Streptophyta; Magnoliopsida; Malpighiales; Euphorbiaceae
Source: RNAcentral
UUUGUUUUAUUUUAUUCCCAUUACCGUUGUCCCGCCAUACAAAUGUGAAGAAACGUAACAGUUCGCCGCUGAGCCAACCGCUAAAACUAAAACCCUAAACUAAUAUUUCUUUCUCUACACACACGGUAAUUAACAGAGUCAUGUCAAUGGCGAAACCAAGUUCAACCCCCGACUCCGAUGAUACAACGUCUUACCACUCCGUGUUCAUAGACACCGGCCUCGACACUCACUUGGCUAUGAUCAUCUCCGGCACCGACACCGUGUCCGAUCUCAAGCAGAAGAUAGUGCAUCAGCACCCACUUUGCUUUCCUCAAAUUGGAGAUAUUAAAAUUCAUUCUUUAAAGGUGAAGCGGAGAGGGUGCUAUUAUCAUUUAUGCGAUUCUAUGUUGGUGAAAAGUGCUUUUCAUGGGGUUAAUAAAAGUUGGUUCAUUAGU